Molecule: ribosomal RNA, 351 nt
Filed under: uncultured bacterium
Lineage: Bacteria
Description: SSU rRNA
Rfam family: Bacterial small subunit ribosomal RNA
Source: RNAcentral
AGAAUGAACGCUGGCGGCGUGGAUAAGACAUGCAAGUCGAACGAGACUUUUUUUGUAGUAAUACAGAGAAAGUUUAGUGGCGAACGGGUGCGUAACACGUGAGUAAUCUGCCGAGAAGUGGGGGAUAGCUUGCCGAAAGGCAAAUUAAUACCGCAUAUGGCCAUCCUUCGAUUGGAGGAAAAGCCAAAGCCGUAAGGCGCUUCUUGAUGAACUCGCGGCCUAUCAGCUAGAUGGCGGGUAACGGCCCACCAUGGCUAUGACGGGUAGCUGGUCUGAGAGGACGACCAGCCACACUGGAACUGAGACACGGUCCAGACACCUACGGGUGGCAGCAGUCGAGAAUUUUCACAA